Molecule: ribosomal RNA, 429 nt
Filed under: Bacteroidota bacterium
Lineage: Bacteria; Pseudomonadati; Bacteroidota
Description: Bacteroidetes bacterium partial 16S ribosomal RNA
Rfam family: Bacterial small subunit ribosomal RNA
Source: RNAcentral
UAGGGAAUCUUCGGCAAUGGGGGGAACCCUGACCGAGCAACGCCGCGUGAGUGAAGAAGGUUUUCGGAUCGUAAAACUCUGUUGUUAGAGAAGAACAGCGCAUAGAGUAACUGUUAUGCGUGUGACGGUAUCUAACCAGAAAGCCACGGCUAACUACGUGCCAGCAGCCGCGGUAAUACGUAGGUGGCAAGCGUUGUCCGGAUUUAUUGGGCGUAAAGCGAGCGCAGGCGGUCAAUUAAGUCUGAUGUGAAAGCCCCCGGCUCAACCGGGGAGGGUCAUUGGAAACUGGUUGACUUGAGUGCAGAAGAGGGGAGUGGAAUUCCAUGUGUAGCGGUGAAAUGCGUAGAUAUAUGGGGGAACACCAGUGGCGAAGGCGACUCUCUGGUCUGUAACUGACGCUGAGGCUCGAAAGCGUGGGUAGCAAACAGG